GCAAACUUGGUCAUUUAGAGGAAGUAAAAGUCGUAACAAGGUUUCCGUAGGUGAACCUGCGGAAGGAUCAUUAACAUUGAAGAGAAUUUUUCAUCAAUUCUUGAACCCCUCACGAGUACUUGUACCCGUUGCUUCCAUGGCUCAUGCGGGCUUUGCUGUCUGCUCAGCCGCACCGACAAAGUGCAGCGGUCAUGGAGGGAUCACUUCAACCUCUGUUUUUAUAAAACUUUUGUCCGAGUGUGAUCAGCAGCUUGAAAAGAAAAAGCUUGAAGCUUUGAAAAACUUUCAACAACGGAUCUCUUGGUUCUCGCAUCGAUGAAGAACGCAGC
This 329-nucleotide unclassified non-coding RNA is filed under the name uncultured fungus. RNAcentral describes it as "partial contains small subunit ribosomal RNA, internal transcribed spacer 1, and 5.8S ribosomal RNA". The stretch from base 1 to 73 matches the Rfam family "Eukaryotic small subunit ribosomal RNA", at positions 1759 to 1831 of the family's 1831-position model. The record is from RNAcentral. Lineage: Eukaryota; Fungi.